UCAAGCAAGAAAGAGCACAGGGUGAAUGCCUUGGCACUGGGAGCCGAUGAAAGACGUGGUAAGCUGCGAAAAGCUUCGGGGAGGCGCAAACAGCCAUCGAUCCGGAGAUUUCUGAAUGGGGAAACCUACUUGAGCAAACCUCAAGUAUCCAUACGUGAAUCCAUAGCGUAUGGAAGGGAACGUUGUGAACUGAAACAUCUAAGUAGCAAUAGGAGGAGAAAGAAAAAUCGAUUUCCUAAGUAGCGGCGAGCGAAAGGGAAAGAGGCCAAACCGAAGGACCUGGUUCUUCGGGGUUGUGGACUGCAUCAAGCGAUGGAGGCUAUGGUAGUCGAACUGUUUUGGGAAAGCAGACCAAAGACGGUGAAAGUCCGGUAGACGAAACCAGAAGACCCGCUGCAGGAUCCAGAGUACCACGGGACACGAGAAACCCUGUGGGAAGCCGGGGGGACCACCCCCCAAGCCUAAAUACUCCCCAGUGACCGAUAGUGAAGCAGUACUGUGAAGGAAAGGUGAAAAGAACCCCGGGAGGGGAGUGAAAAAGAACCUGAAACCUUGUGCUUACAAACAGUCAGAGGUCUACGGACUGAUGGCGUACUUUUUGUAGAACGGUCCGGCGAGUUACUAAUGCCAGCGAGGUUAAGUGGUCAGAAGCCACGGAGCCGAAGGGAAACCAAGUCUGAACAGGGCGUAAAGUUAGUAUUAGUAGACCCGAAACCGGGUGACCUAUCCAUGUCCAGGUUGAAGGAGCCGUAAAAGGCUUUGGAGGACCGAACACACAUCUGUUGAAAAAGGUGGUGAUGAGGUGUGGAUAGCGGAGAAAUUCCAAUCGAACUCGGAGAUAGCUGGUUCUCCUCGAAAUAGCUUUAGGGCUAGCCUCGAGAUGGAGUCUAACGGAGGUAAAGCACUGAACUGACGCGGGGCCCAAAAAGGUUACCAACUCAUAUCAAACUAAGAAUGCCGUCAAGAUACCCUCGGGAGUCAGUCUGCGUGAGAUAAGUCGCGUGGACAAAAGGGAAAGAGCCCAGACCGACAGCUAAGGUCCCAAAGUACGUGUUAAGUGGAAAAGGAUGUGGGAUUUCAUAGACAACUAGGAUGUUGGCUUAGAAGCAGCCAUACAUUUAAAGAGUGCGUAACAGCUCACUAGUCGAGAAAACCUGCGCCGAAAAUUUAACGGGGCUAAAACACGACACCGAAGCUACGGCUUGACAGCUAACGCUGUUAGGGGUAGAGGAGCAUCCUGCAAGGACGAAGCCAAAGUGGAAACGAUGGUGGACGAAACAGGAGAGAGAAUGCCGGAAUGAGUAGCGAGAUAGAAGUAAGAAACUUCUAGGCCGAAUAUCUAAGGUUUCCUGGGUAAAGCUAAUCUUCCCAGGGUUAGUCGGGGCCUAAGGCGAGGACGAAAGUCGUAGUCGAUGGAUAACAGGUUGAUAUUCCUGUACUACGUAUCAUCAGAACUGUGGGGACGCAGGAGGAUAGGAAAACCGGGGAAUGGAAAAACCCGGCUAAGCACAAAGUCAAGGGAGAUAGGCAAAUCCGUCUCUUGAUGAUGAAGUGCGAUGGGGACUGAACAAAAGUAGGGAAGUUUCCGAAUCCACACUGUCGAGAAAAGCCGCUAUUGUGUGAUACGUACCCGUACCGUAAACCGACACAGGUAGAUGAGGAGAAAAUCCACAGGCCGACGGGAGAAGUGUUGUUAAGGAACUCGGCAAAAUGACCCCGUAACUUAGGGAGAAGGGGAGCCACGCAAGUGGCCGCAGAAAAGAGGCUCAAGCGACUGUUUAGCAAAAACACAGGUCUCUGCGAAACCGAAAGGUGAAGUAUAGGGGCUGACACCUGCCCGGUGCUGGAAGGUUAAAAGGAGAGGUUCGACGUAAGUCAAAGCUUUGAAUUCAAGCCCCAGUAAACGGCGGCCGUAACUAUAACGGUCCUAAGGUAGCGAAAUUCCUUGUCAGGUAAGUUCUGACCCGC
Molecule: ribosomal RNA, 1968 nt
Filed under: human gut metagenome
Description: bacterial LSU rRNA
Rfam family: Bacterial large subunit ribosomal RNA
Source: RNAcentral